This 421-nucleotide ribosomal RNA is filed under the name Brevibacillus gelatini. Its description in RNAcentral is "bacterial SSU rRNA". It matches the Rfam family "Bacterial small subunit ribosomal RNA", at positions 1 to 423 of the family's 1533-position model. The record is from RNAcentral. Lineage: Bacteria; Bacillati; Bacillota; Bacilli; Caryophanales; Paenibacillaceae.
UUUAUUGGAGAGUUUGAUCCUGGCUCAGGACGAACGCUGGCGGCGUGCCUAAUACAUGCAAGUCGAGCGAGGGUUUUCGAACCCUAGCGGCGGACGGGUGAGUAACACGUAGGCAACCUGCCUCUCAGACCGGGAUAACAUAGGGAAACUUAUGCUAAUACCGGAUAGGUUUUUGGAUCGCAUGAUCUGAAAAGGAAAGAUGGCGUUUGCUAUCACUGGGAGAUGGGCCUGCGGCGCAUUAGCUAGUUGGUGGGGUAACGGCCUACCAAGGCGACGAUGCGUAGCCGACCUGAGAGGGUGACCGGCCACACUGGGACUGAGACACGGCCCAGACUCCUACGGGAGGCAGCAGUAGGGAAUUUUCCACAAUGGACGAAAGUCUGAUGGAGCAACGCCGCGUGAACGAUGAAGGUCUUCGGAU